Molecule: non-coding RNA, 526 nt
Organism: Epinephelus lanceolatus (giant grouper)
Lineage: Eukaryota; Metazoa; Chordata; Actinopteri; Perciformes; Serranidae
Source: RefSeq, a predicted model, not a curated record
CUGCUACACCUCCGCCCUUAACUGGCAUCAGCUGGGUCUAAUUUCCAGUUGUCGGAGCCUAAUUGUGCAGUGGUGGCACCUGCGUUAUUUGGUCUCGUCUUCCCCUCACGGGCGCGCUCACUUGUACCUGGCGUUUACCUGGCGAGGGCUGUGUGUGGCGUGCUUUGUGUGUGUCGUGCUCCGGUUUCUGUACCCAAACUUGGGACUCAUAAGCGGCGUCGGCCGUUCCUGUCGUGUGUAGCUUCGGAGGGGACUUUGAAAAGCGUGGUGUCUGCUCUUCCUCACUGUGAGACGGUGACUGGGUUUGAGCUGUGCGCUGUGCGUUAAGCUCCCUUCGCUCCGCCGAGGCCACAGCUUGUGGCUUCUUCUCCUCCUCUGCGCACUGUGUGGGGCUGCACUCCGCAGCCCGGUGACGUGGGCCGCCAGCUGGGCAUCCCGAAGGCCUCCAGCCCCGGUGCGGCUGCUCCGUUUUCCACUGCUGUUCUGCCAGUUUUCCACAGACUGAUUAAAGCACACUGUAAUGCAG